RNAcentral lists this long non-coding RNA (343 nucleotides) under Coturnix japonica (Japanese quail). RNAcentral describes it as "lncRNA (ENSCJPG00005004372.1)". Lineage: Eukaryota; Metazoa; Chordata; Aves; Galliformes; Phasianidae. The record is from RNAcentral.
CUUGGCCCUUGCCACAAAGAAUAUUGCUGAUUCAAGCAAGGACUUUUGCUGAUUCUGUAGCAUGGCAGUUUCUCAACAACUACUAUAUCUUACCUUAUUUUUCUUCUUCAACAGGGCAAAAUAAAAACUCCAGUUUAUUUGGCAAUUACACAAGAUUUUCAAUCAUCUCUGAAACAUGUUUGUUGCUUACAGUUUGCAAAGCAGCUUCUUUUGGGAGGAGGGGAAGAAGAGGAUGUGUGGACUUACACAGCUCUUAGAUGAAGAGUGAUUUUUAGGAAAGUUGAUGAGGAAGCACUUUCAUAUUCUAGUUGGGGAUGAAGAAUCACAAACGUCUCCAAUCCAA